UAAGGAAUAUUGGUCAAUGGACGAAACCCUGAUCCAGCCAUGCCGCGUGCAGGAUGAAGGCCUUCGGGUUGUAAACUGCUUUUGUACGGAACGAAAAGGUCCUUUCUAAUAAAGAGGGCUCAUGACGGUACCGUAAGAAUAAGCACCGGCUAACUACGUGCCAGCAGCCGCGGUAAUACGUAGGGUGCGAGCGUUAAUCGGAAUUACUGGGCGUAAAGCGUGCGCAGGCGGUUAUAUAAGACAGAUGUGAAAUCCCCGGGCUCAACCUGGGACCUGCAUUUGUGACUGUAUAGCUGGAGUACGGUAGAAGGGGAUGGAAUUCCGCGUGUAGCAGUGAAAUGCGUAGAUAUGCGGAGGAACACCGAUGGCGAAGGCAAUCCCCUGGACCUGUACUGACGCUCAUGCACGAAAGCGUGGGGAGCAAACA
Molecule: ribosomal RNA, 427 nt
Filed under: uncultured bacterium
Lineage: Bacteria
Description: bacterial SSU rRNA
Rfam family: Bacterial small subunit ribosomal RNA
Source: RNAcentral